Molecule: ribosomal RNA, 497 nt
Filed under: uncultured bacterium
Lineage: Bacteria
Description: partial 16S ribosomal RNA
Rfam family: Bacterial small subunit ribosomal RNA
Source: RNAcentral
GAUGAACGCUGGCGGCGUGCCUAAUACAUGCAAGUCGAGCGAACAGACGAGGAGCUUGCUCCUCUGACGUUAGCGGCGGACGGGUGAGUAACACGUGGAUAACCUACCUAUAAGACUGGGAUAACUUCGGGGAACCGGAGCUAAUACCGGAUAAUAUAUUGAACCGCAUGGUUCAAUAGUGAAAGACGGUUUUGCUGUCACUUAUAGAUGGAUCCGCGCCGCAUUAGCUAGUUGGUAAGGUAACGGCUUACCAAGGCGACGAUGCGUAGCCGACCUGAGAGGGUGAUCGGCCACACUGGAACUGAGACACGGUCCAGACUCCUACGGGAGGCAGCAGUAGGGAAUCUUCCGCAAAGGGCGAAAGCCUGACGGAGCAACGCCGCGUGAGUGAUGAAGGUCUUCGGAUCGUAAAACUCUGUUAUUAGGGAAGAACAAAUGUGUAAGUAACUAUGCACGUCUUGACGGUACCUAAUCAGAAAGCCACGGCUAACUACGUG